This 734-nucleotide ribosomal RNA is filed under the name uncultured archaeon. RNAcentral's name for it is "bacterial SSU rRNA". It matches the Rfam family "Archaeal small subunit ribosomal RNA", at positions 102 to 835 of the family's 1478-position model. The record is from RNAcentral.
GGAUAAUCUACCCUUAGGACUGGGAUAACCCCGGGAAACUGGGGCUAAUACCGGAUAGGCAAUUAUUCCUGCAAUGGUUUUUUGUUUAAAUGUUUUUUCGCCUAAGGAUGAGUCUGCGGCCGAUUAGGUAGUUGGUUAGGUAAUGGCUUACCAAGCCGUUGAUCGGUACGGGUUGUGAGAGCAAGAGCCCGGAGAUGGAACCUGAGACAAGGUUCCAGGCCCUACGGGGUGCAGCAGGCGCGAAACCUCCGCAAUGUGAGAAAUCGCGACGGGGGGAUCCCAAGUGCCAUUCUUAACGGGAUGGCUUUUCAUUAGUGUAAAGAGCUUUUGGAAUAAGAGCUGGGCAAGACCGGUGCCAGCCGCCGCGGUAACACCGGCAGCUCUAGUGGUAACAAUUUUUAUUGGGCCUAAAGCGUCCGUAGCCGGUUUAAUAAGUCUCUGGUGAAAUCCUGUAGCUUAACUGUGGGAAUUGCUGGAGAUACUAUUAGACUUGAGACCGGGAGAGGUUAGAGGUACUCCCAGGGUAGAGGUGAAAUUCUGUAAUCCUGGGAGGACCGCCUGUUGCGAAGGCGUCUAACUGGAACGGUUCUGACGGUGAGGGACGAAAGUUAGGGGCGCGAACCGGAUUAGAUACCCGGGUAGUCCUAACUGUAAACGAUGCGGACUUGGUGUUGGGGUGGCUUUGAGCUGCUCCAGUGCCGAAAGGGAAGCUGUUAAGUCCGCCGCCUGGGAAG